ACGCUCGUCUCAAAGAUUAAGCCAUGCAUGUCGUAGUACUUGCUUUUCCUUACGAAUGAGCGAAACCGCGGACGGCUCAUUAAAUCGGUUACGGUUCACUCGCCCGUCCGCGUCCUGCUUUGUCAGGGCGUAGUCGGAUAACUGUGGUAAUUCUAGAGCUAAUACGUGCAACUUACGGCUUCCGAGAAAAUCGGGGGCUGGCAUUUAUUAGUCUGGCGUGCGCGGCCUUUAAGGUUUCGCGCGCCUGACGGCUCUGAAUAACGGUGGCGGAUCGUCCUCUUCUGAGGACGACCGGGCUUUUGAGUGUCCGCCUUAUCAACUUUCGACGGUAGGUUCAGCGCCUACCGUGGUGGUUACGGGUGACGGGGAAUCAGGGUUCGAUUCCGGAGAGGGAGCCUGAAAGACGGCUACCACAUCCAAGGAAGGCAGCAGGCACGCAAAUUACCCACUCUCCGAAAGAGAGGAGGUAGUGACGAAAAAUAACGAUACGGGACUCUUAACGAGGCCUCGUAAUCGGAAUGAGACCGCUUCAAAUCCUCGAGACGAGGAUCUAUCGGAGGGCAAGUCUGGUG
RNAcentral lists this ribosomal RNA (572 nucleotides) under Epiperipatus isthmicola. RNAcentral's name for it is "bacterial SSU rRNA". It matches the Rfam family "Eukaryotic small subunit ribosomal RNA", at positions 28 to 566 of the family's 1831-position model. Lineage: Eukaryota; Metazoa; Onychophora; Udeonychophora; Euonychophora; Peripatidae. The record is from RNAcentral.